UCAUCACAUCUCCCAAAUACUACAAGCAAAACAUCAAAAUUCCAAAAAUUAAUCUAACGCCAAAUCCAAAGUAUAUUACAUAUAUAUAAAGUAAUCAUCAGAGACUUAAAUACUACGAAUCAUAGAAUUUACCAUCAUAUUGUUGCAGUUUUUUUCUCAUCAUCUGAUUUCGAUUUUAUCAUCCAGUAAAAUUGUACUAAUUCAAGUAUUUCAGAUUCUUCGACAAUUGUUAAAUGACUAAAUCAGAUACAUCUAAUACAAAAUUGACCUAAAUAAUAAUGUAUCAUCGUUUACUGAACCAUUCCAUCAUAAAUUAAGUCAAGUGGUUCACCCAAUAACAAUGCAAUUCUUGAUAUCCCUGACAUUUACGAGAGACCCAUUCACAAAGAAGGCAAUAGAUCCCUGCUUUUUUAAUCAGGUUUUUUAAAAAGUAAGUUCAAGUUCAAGAGUAGAAAGCUCAGAAGCCAAGCGUAACAAGAAAAUUUCAUUGAAGAUCCAAGCUGAUCCAAGCUUAAAAUAGAUCUCCUUACAUGUUCGCUAUCUCAUCAAUGCUUAAAAUAAUUUGACUACUAUUAAUUUGAAGGAAUGCUGGGGAUAAAAAUUAACAUCCUCCAAUCGUGAUAAGUAGCGUUAUCUAGGCACCGUGCAAAAGGUAGUUUCUCAUAGAAAUAAGAAGAAAAUACCCGUUGUCUGAGAUAUGCCAUUGAAAACAGUGUAUAUAUAUAAAUAUAUCCAAGAUAUUGUGUCAAGAGAGUACAAUUAACUCUAAUGGAUCUUCAUCUUGGAUUUGUUUAGGCUUCAUGCGGCAGACGGGUUACCAUUAACAGGCACCUGCUGCAGACUCUUGUGUGAAGCCAUAAUUAACAACAUCCAAAACUUAGCAAAGGAAUUUCUGUGAUUCAUAACCAUUAGCAAAAAUUUAAAUCAUGUAAACACAUAAGUUGCAAACAAUCAAUGGUAUAAUGUGAUGUAAAACUAUAAAAAGUGUAAAUUUUGCUCAGAUACAUGAAUAUCUUCUCAUAGAUUUCUCUCUGAAGUCUGACAUGUGAAAUUUUCAUGAAUUCAUCACAGCAGAAGACCCAAAUAAUUUUCAAAAAAUUCACAUUAAAACAGUUUCAAAUAGGAAAAUACAAAUAGCUCUCAUACUUGAAAUUUUUUUAUCUACUCAUGCUUUAGAUCGGUAUAGCGUAUAUUGCCACAAGGCAUACAAUCACUGAGCUAUUUUUCACAAAUCUGGCAAUAAAAUAUAAAAAUAUAAAAUAAUACUCAAUAAUAAUGAGAGAUCAGUAGAGUAAAAAAGAAAGGUGUUAUCUGUCACUGUUCAAUCAGAAACACGGACCAAUUUCGUUCAUCAUAUCUCCCAAAUACUAUAACCAAAACAACAAAACUCCAGAAAUUAAUCUAACACCAAAAUCUAAUUCUGUUACAGAUAUAUAAAGAAAUCAUCAGAGACUUAAAUACUACGAAUCAUGGAAUUUACCAUCAUAUUGUUGCAGUUUUUUUCUCAUCACCUGAUUUCAAUGAACAAAAAAGCUUCAAACAAAAAUCGUAAUCAAUAAAAAGAAGCACCAAAUUGAGGCGGCGGCCGGCGAAGAAAAC
This 1599-nucleotide long non-coding RNA is filed under the name Solanum tuberosum (potato). RNAcentral's name for it is "long non-coding RNA (STUB_LNC002874)". The record is from RNAcentral. Lineage: Eukaryota; Viridiplantae; Streptophyta; Magnoliopsida; Solanales; Solanaceae.